CCUACGGGUGGCAGCAGUGAGGAAUAUUGGUCAAUGGGCGCAAGCCUGAACCAGCCAAGUAGCGUGCGGGAUGAAGGCCCUACGAGUCGUAAACCGCUUUUGCACGGGGAUAACCCCCUCCACUUGUGGAUGUCUGCAGGUACCGUGCGAAUAAGGGCCGGCUAAUUCCGUGCCAGCAGCCGCGGUAAUACGGAGGGCCCGAGCGUUAUCCGGAUUUAUUGGGCUUAAAGGGUGCGUGGGCGGGCGUUAAAGUCAGCUGGAAAAUCGCGCGGCUCAACCGCGCCCCGCAGUUGAAACUGGACGGCUAGAGAUCAGAACAGGCAGGCGGAAUUCGUGGUGUAGCGGUGAAAUGCAUAGAGAUCA
RNAcentral lists this ribosomal RNA (363 nucleotides) under uncultured bacterium. RNAcentral's name for it is "partial 16S ribosomal RNA". It matches the Rfam family "Bacterial small subunit ribosomal RNA", at positions 338 to 699 of the family's 1533-position model. The record is from RNAcentral.